CGCCAUGAUAAGAGGGUGGCUGCAUCUAAGCUCCCAAACAAAAGUUUCACUUUGAGUCAAGUUCUGGAUAUGUUGGAUCUAGGUGACUGCCCAGACAAGGCAUGCAACAUUGCAGUUAUCCUUCAAAAUGAGAAUGCAUAUGCUGAACCUAUCCAAACAGAUCAUGACAUGAACAUCGUUAUCAGUGAUGAUGACCUACCCCUCACCAUCCCCCCUCCACAACCUCCCCCACCCCCCUCCAUUGUUGAUAAUGAAGAGCCAAGGGCCUCUACAAGCCAUAGGGGUCAGCAAGAAGAGCCAAGGGAAAAGCUGCAGGUGGUCAAAAAUAAAGAUUGAGUGUUCAAACGAUCGAAGAGGCCUGCCACCUAUGUGAUUCCAAAAAACAUAUUAUACAGCCCAAAUAUGCAAAAGUUUGGCACGAAACCACUGAGCCACAGAAGGAGAUCUUUACUGGCUGCUACUGUUGAAGAUCAGGCAAGAUAUGACAAAGCUUCUCACUGGCCAAUCAACACUAUUCACCGGUUCCAGAGAUGUCAUCAUUGUGACAAACGCACUACCUAUGCAUGUGAGAAAUGCAAAGUGCCACUGCACAUUGAGUGCUUCAUGAUAUACCACGGACAGUAGAAAAUGAGAUAAGAGUGAAUGAAAAAUGACUGAAAAAGACAAUGAAUGAAAAAUAGAAAAGUCAAUAAAGGGUGAGGAGAAGCAGGUCAACGGACUCUAGGAUGAAAAGAAAAGUCGACGAAAAAGGCAAUGAAAUUGGCUGAAAUGUUUUUGGAAAAGAGGAUCAAUUAAUUCAAGACAUACUGUAUGAGAGUAGGUCUGGCUGAUCACAGUUCAAAAUAGUGAUGCACCAACUAAUCUUGCACUUGGUUCUGAAGCCUACCUCCAUGAUAUAUAUAAGCACUCAAUGUGCAGUGGCACUUUUUUAUAUAUAUCAUUAUUUUAUUUUGUUCAGUGUAGGCCUCUACUUGAAUGCAUAUUCUACAGGCUAUCUCUAUCCUACAUUUGACCUUUACCUUCAGUGGGAAUGAAUCACAUGAAUCACAUGACUGCUAUACAGUUGUUAGUGAAUAUUGCACUAAUUUAAUGUUGCACUUUUUGAUGUGUAAAAUAGUCACUAGAAUUUUGGUGACUGCAUAGGAGAAAUAUGUUCAUUCAGUAUACAUCACAUUAUCCCACCAACCAUAAAACACACUUUUUCAUGAAAAUGUAAAAAAUAAUGAUUGAUUAUUUCAAAGGGUUACUGAUGACACUUGAUUUUGAUAUUUUCAUGUCUGGGAAAAAUUUGGGAUUAAAUUCUUGAAAAUACAAUUGUCUUACAUCCUUCAAAAGAAGGUAAUCAAACUGCGUUGUCCGAUUUAAAAU
Oncorhynchus tshawytscha (Chinook salmon) is the source of this 1368-nucleotide long non-coding RNA. The record is from Ensembl. Lineage: Eukaryota; Metazoa; Chordata; Actinopteri; Salmoniformes; Salmonidae.